AGAUUGAACGCUGGCGGCAUGCCUAACACAUGCAAGUCGAACGGGAGUAGCAAUACUCUAGUGGCGGACGGGUGAGGAAUACGUAGGAAUUUGCCCUUAAGUGGGGGAUAACCCGGGGAAACCCGGAUUAACUACCGCAUGACCUCGAAAGAGCAAAGUGGGGGAUCGCAAGACCUCACGCUUUUGGAGAAGCCUACGUCGGAUUAGCUAGUUGGUGAGGUAAUGGCUCACCAAGGCGACGAUCCGUAACUGGUCUGAGAGGAUGAUCAGUCACACCGGAACUGAGACACGGUCCGGACUCCGUACGGGAGCAGCGAGGUGGGAAUAGUUGGACAAGUGGGCGACUAAGCCUGACUCCAGCAAUCGCCGCGUUGU
This 375-nucleotide ribosomal RNA is filed under the name uncultured soil bacterium. Its description in RNAcentral is "bacterial SSU rRNA". It matches the Rfam family "Bacterial small subunit ribosomal RNA", at positions 26 to 405 of the family's 1533-position model. The record is from RNAcentral.